Molecule: ribosomal RNA, 506 nt
Filed under: uncultured bacterium
Lineage: Bacteria
Description: partial 16S ribosomal RNA
Rfam family: Bacterial small subunit ribosomal RNA
Source: RNAcentral
AGUGAACGCUGGCGGUAGGCCUAACACAUGCAAGUCGAACGGCAGCACAGGAGAGCUUGCUCUCUGGGUGGCGUGUGGCGGACGGGUGAGGAAUACAUCGGAAUCUACUCUGUCGUGGGGGAUAACGUAGGGAAACUUACGCUAAUACCGCAUACGACCUACGGGUGAAAGCAGGGGACUUUCGGGCCUUGCGCGAUUGAAUGAGCCGAUGCAGGAUUAGAUAGUUGGCGGGGUAAAGGCCCACCAAGGCGACGAUCCGUAGCUGGUCUGAGAGGAUGAGCAGCCACACUGGAACUGAGACACGGUCCAGACUCCUACGGGAGGCAGCAGUGGGGAAUAUUGGACAAUGGGCGCAAGCCUGAUCCAGCCAUACCGCGUGGGUGAAGAAGGCCUUCGGGUUGUAAAGCCCUUUUGUUGGGAAAGAAAUCCAUCUGGUUAAUACCCGGGUGGGAUGACGGUACCCAAAGAAUAAGCACCGGCUAACUUCGUGCCAGCAGCCGCCGUAA